UUUCAGACAGCGGUGCUAUGAUUCGGACCGUUGUUAGUUUUCUGAUACUUUGCUUACACUGUGAAGGUAAGUCUGAAACUAAAGCUAAGUAGGAUAUAUAUUAUUCGCCACUCAAAACAAAUAUGAUUAAUACUUUACAUGCACAAAUGUAAUUGCAUUCUAUAGACACAGAGGAGCUUUUGCCAAAUUUAGAUGUGGUCUUGCCCCACUAAGGAUUAAUACUUGGAGAUAUGAACAUAUAGUUUUAGAAAACAGAGUGUUUCAUAUAUGUGAUGGUUUUAUUAAAUACGAAUUUUAUGUUUUAUUAAGAUUUCCUCUUUAUGACGAUUUACGUUGCUGAAACAUUUAAUUAACAUUUUGAUACCUGACAACCAAACUUUAUAUUUUUAUUCUCAGAUGUAAAUAUGAUACGUGUGUGUACAAAAACCUGUUUAAUAUUCAAUGUUAAGAAGACCUUAAAUUUUAGUACUUUAUUUCAUAUUGUUUAAUGUAAUAUAUCUUCUGUACAUAUUAACAUAGUAUCUUAUAACUCUGUUUGGCCAUGAUGGUUUUCAUUUCAUGUAGUAUUGUUUUACAAUUUAUAAAUACCGGAAUAUACUUUGCUCGAAAUCAAAACAAUUUACUUACACAUAAGGGUAUGAGUAAAAGAGGGAAAAUAUAUGUAAUAAACGUGAUCCGACAAUGAAAAGUGACGUUUUGGUUAACUAAUCUAAAUUGAUAUCAGAACGGUAAAGCAAUUUAUCUAUAGUGCUGAAGUUUGAUAAAUGUGUAAAAUUAAUGUAAAAAAGUAAAAUAACAAAUAUUACCUACAAUAUCAAUGUAAUAACUUGAAUCCUUUUACAGUUAUUUCUAGUUACAAAAGAGUCUGCUUCUUCACGAACUGGUCACAAUAUCGAACCGGUAUUGGGAAGUAUACGGCGGAUAAAAUUGAUCCAUUUUUAUGUACGCAUGUAAUAUAUGCAUUUGCCAAAGUGUCUGGGAAUACUAUCCAGCCAUAUGAAGAAAAUGAC
This 1010-nucleotide long non-coding RNA is filed under the name Mytilus galloprovincialis (Mediterranean mussel). The record is from RNAcentral. Lineage: Eukaryota; Metazoa; Mollusca; Bivalvia; Mytilida; Mytilidae.